This 254-nucleotide ribosomal RNA is filed under the name uncultured bacterium. RNAcentral's name for it is "partial 16S ribosomal RNA". It matches the Rfam family "Bacterial small subunit ribosomal RNA", at positions 524 to 776 of the family's 1533-position model. The record is from RNAcentral.
UACGGAGGGUGCGAGCGUUGUCCGGAAUCAUUGGGCGUAAAGGGCGCGUAGGUGGCCCGGUCAGUCUUUGGUGAAAGCGCGGGGCUCAACCCUGCGUCGGCCAGGGAUACUGCCGCGGCUCGAGCACUGUAGAGGCAGGCGGAAUUCCGGGUGUAGCGGUGGAAUGCGUAGAGAUCGGGAGGAAUACCCAUAGCGAAGGCAGCUCGCUGGGACGGUACUGACGCUGAGGCGCGAAGGCGUGGGGAGCGAACGGG